GACGAACGCUGGCGGCGUGCCUAAUACAUGCAAGUUGAGCGCUGAAGGUUGGUACUUGUACCAACUGGAUGAGCAGCGAACGGGUGAGUAACGCGUGGGGAAUCUGCCUUUGAGCGGGGGGCAACAUUUGGAAACGAAUGCUAAUACCGCAUAAAAACUUUAAACACAAGUUUUAAGUUUGAAAGAUGCAAUUGCAUCACUCAAAGAUGAUCCCGCGUUGUAUUAGCUAGUUGGUGAGGUAAAGGCUCACCAAGGCGAUGAUACAUAGCCGACCUGAGAGGGUGAUCGGCCACAUUGGGACUGAGACACGGCCCAAACUCCUACGGGAGGCAGCAGUAGGGAAUCUUCGGCAAUGGACGAAAGUCUGACCGAGCAACGCCGCGUGAGUGAAGAAGGGUUUCGGAUCGUAAAACUCUGUUGGUAGAGAAGAACGUUGGUGAGAGUGGAAAGCUCAUCAAGUGACGGUAACUACCCAGAAAGGGACGGCUAACUACGUG
This 497-nucleotide ribosomal RNA is filed under the name uncultured bacterium. RNAcentral's name for it is "partial 16S ribosomal RNA". It matches the Rfam family "Bacterial small subunit ribosomal RNA", at positions 28 to 507 of the family's 1533-position model. The record is from RNAcentral.